UUUCCUUAUUUAAUCGAUCCAGAGCUUAUCCCCGUAGAGACUGACGUCCGACAAUUUCGGACUGAGAUAUGAAGUUAAUACUUUAUAUCACACGCCAGCCUUAUUUAUUAAAAAUAAGGAAGUUAUAGUCCAUGCUUCUAGAAAUAGAAAG
This 151-nucleotide non-coding RNA is filed under the name Microgenomates group bacterium GW2011_GWA2_44_7. The record is from RNAcentral. RNAcentral also lists the same sequence under 1 other name.